This 222-nucleotide unclassified non-coding RNA is filed under the name Hevea brasiliensis (rubber tree). The record is from RNAcentral. Lineage: Eukaryota; Viridiplantae; Streptophyta; Magnoliopsida; Malpighiales; Euphorbiaceae.
CGGUAAUCCCCCCCAAAAAAAAGCCCACAUCUUCUCUCCCAUUAUCAAUGCCAAUGGCUACACCAGCUCAUCCAUAUCAUUAAAAAAAAAAGGCUUAAAAACAACGAACCAUAAUUUCCCCUCAAAAAAGAAGAUUGAAUAAAGAAAAUGAAAAUAAAGGAAAAGACAGCCAUUUUUUACCUGGGUUGAAAGGACAGAGCUUGUUUUGCUCUCCUCCAUCAA